AGCCGGAGCUGCCCAGUCGCCGCGGGACCUGGGCCGCUGGGGUCUGGACGGGGGUCGCCAUGAUCCGCUUUAUCCUCAUCCAGAACCGGGCAGGCAAGACGCGCCUGGCCAAGUGGUAUAUGCAGUUUGAUGAUGAUGAGAAACAGAAGCUGAUCGAGGAGGUGCAUGCCGUGGUCACCGUCCGAGACGCCAAACACACCAACUUUGUGGAGGUGACGCCCGCUCCAUGCCUCCUGCACCCUGCCGCUUCCUCGUGCCCUACUUCGCCACUCCCUGCCCAGCUUCUAGCUGCAAGAACCCCUUGGACCCUCUAUCCAUCCUAUAUCAUUCACUCAACCCCCUUUGAGCUUGCUUGCUUCUUCCCUUCCUUUGUUUGUACUUUUCAUUGUGAAAAAUCAUAAACAUACAGAUUAGUACAAUGAAAGAAAAGUAUAUUGGAGAUUCAUAAACCUACUACCCGGAUUUAAUCAGUAUUAAUAUUUUUCCUUUUUGUUCUGCACUAUUAUUAUUAAUUUUUUUUGCCUACGAUUAAAAAAGAAUUUUUUUUUUUUGCC
RNAcentral lists this small RNA (554 nucleotides) under Pongo abelii (Sumatran orangutan). RNAcentral describes it as "retained intron". Lineage: Eukaryota; Metazoa; Chordata; Mammalia; Primates; Hominidae. The record is from RNAcentral.